GGGGAUGCCAAGGUCUCGACAUGACUAAUGAUUACCCAAACGCAGUAGGGUCAGCCCUUUAUAGCUCGAGGUAUUAUUGCAUGACAAUAAACCAAAAAAUGAGGCUGUUCAAUUGGAUAACUACCAAAUUGCACAACUUUCAAGACAAUCUCAACUUAACUACGCUUUUGUAGCUUAAGUCCUUGUCUAUAAGUGUUCUUAGUUUUAUUCUUUUACUAAAACACGCUAAAUAAAAGAAUAUAUUGUACAAAUGCUAAUAUGUGCAAUGAAACUAAUUAGCUAUAUAGGUUGGGGUUGCUAUGUUACCAUUCUAACCUAUGAAGUUAUAAAAUAUAGCUAAACUGUAGUGCUUGCUUAAGAGUUAGUUGUGGAAAGGAGUUCGAUUCUCCUCAUCUCCACCA
RNAcentral lists this transfer-messenger RNA (401 nucleotides) under Mycoplasmataceae bacterium. It matches the Rfam family "transfer-messenger RNA". From Rfam's summary of the family: Bacterial tmRNA, also known as 10Sa RNA or SsrA, is named for its dual tRNA and mRNA-like properties. Its role is to liberate the mRNA from a stalled ribosome. The record is from RNAcentral. Lineage: Bacteria; Bacillati; Mycoplasmatota; Mollicutes; Mycoplasmatales; Mycoplasmataceae.